This 252-nucleotide ribosomal RNA is filed under the name uncultured microorganism. RNAcentral's name for it is "partial 16S ribosomal RNA". It matches the Rfam family "Bacterial small subunit ribosomal RNA", at positions 9 to 263 of the family's 1533-position model. The record is from RNAcentral.
GAGUUUGAUCAUGGCUCAGGACGAACGCUGGCGGCGUGCCUAAUACAUGCAAGUCGAGCGAGUCUCUUCGGGGGCUAGCGGCGGACGGGUGAGUAACACGUAGGCAACCUGCCUCUCAGACCGGGAUAACAUAGGGGAAACUUAUGCUAAUACCGGAUAGGUUUUUGGAUUGCAUGAUCCGAAAAGAAAGAUGGCUUUCGCUAUCACUGGGAGAUAGGGCCUGCGGCGCAUUAGCUAGUUGGUGGGUAACGG